UUGAACGCUGGCGGCAUGCCUUACACCUGCAAGUCGAACGGCAGCACGGGGGGUAACCCCUGGUGGCGAGUGGCGAACGGGUGAGUAAUAUAUCGGAACGUGUCCUGUAGCGGGGGAUAACCUAUCGAAAGAUGGACUAAUACCGCAUACGACCUACGGGUGAAAGCGGAGGACCGCAAGGCUUCGCACUAUAGGAGCGGCCGAUAUCGGAUUAGCUAGUUGGCGGGGUAACGGCCCACCAAGGCGACGAUCCGUAGCUGGUCUGAGAGGACGAUCAGCCACACUGGAACUGAGACACGGUCCAGACUCCUACGGGAGGCAGCAGUGGGGAAUUUUGGACAAUGGGCGCAAGCCUGAUCCAGCCAUGCCGCGUGAGUGAAGAAGGCCUUCGGGUUGUAAAGCUCUUUCGGCGGGGACGAAACGGUUCGUGCUAAUACCACGGACUACUGACGGUACCCGCAGAAGAAGCACCGGCUAACUACGUG
Molecule: ribosomal RNA, 485 nt
Filed under: uncultured bacterium
Lineage: Bacteria
Description: partial 16S ribosomal RNA
Rfam family: Bacterial small subunit ribosomal RNA
Source: RNAcentral